Molecule: small RNA, 1449 nt
Filed under: Histoplasma capsulatum
Lineage: Eukaryota; Fungi; Ascomycota; Eurotiomycetes; Onygenales; Ajellomycetaceae
Description: hypothetical RNA
Source: RNAcentral
GGGUUGGGUUUGACUCUCGACACGGCGCGGAAACCGAACAUCCCAUCCCGGUUUCUGGUGAUGUCAUUGAUGUCAGCUGGUUCGAAUAUCAGCUCCAUGGACGAGUUGGAGUGGUUCUUGUGGGAUGUUGAUGGCCUAUCCGCUCAAUGCCGGCUUUUCAACAGAAAAUGAGUCAGGUAAUUAACUAGUUACUGGUAUGUUUGGCCUUGCGCUCUACCAGUCAGCUCCAGCAGAAGGAAUAUUUCAAACAGGUCCUCGAGCACAGGUGACCGUGGUGCGGCGGACUGAAUAAAUGGAUUCGAAACGAGGAUUUACCCGGUUCUUCGAGACUUCUUUCAAUAUACCAUGUGAUCAUUUCUAUUGACGGUUUCCUUUACGUUACAUUUGCAAGUUUUGAUUUGGCGCUUUCCGAGAGAUUGACUAGAUCAGGGGGAAAAAAAAUAAGUUUAUUGACCCCUAGAGCAGAAACGGUACUGGCUGAACUGCCAACUAAUCCUCCGCACUCGGCACAAAUAAACGCAGAAGGCAUGGUCACAUAUCAAACGAAUCCAGGGGAUUAUAGGAGAAGUUCCAGGAGUGUAGAAGCAAAAAAAGGUGGGAGAUAGCAUGGGGAUGAGAUAAUUCCUUAUUCCCAUGCCAGAAACAAAGAGAAACAAAAGGUGCAAGAGUGAUCCUUUCAGUCAGCCACCCGUGCGGAUAAGAAUGCCUCUCUGUUCUUAAAAGUGACAUAUUGUAAUGAGCGCGCCGUGAAUUAAAAAAAGGAGAACGGAAGGUAAUAUAAUAAUAAGGGGGCAACGACGGAGAGAAAAUCUUCAAGAGAAUAGUACACAAUAAUCAUAAUCAGCAAAGAAACUAGGAGCAAUAAGGCAUAGGGGUGUUAACGAGAAAGGGACAGCGGGAAUUAACAGUAAAAAUUAAUAGUAAAAAAAAAAAAAAAUAGAGCGGAACUGGAUGAAAUAGAAGAAGAGAGUAUGUAUGAGAACAGAAACAACCAUAAAACGGAUAUCAGCAAAGAUAAAACUGACCUCUUGCUGUAGGAUAGAAUCAUGCAGGUGGUGAUAUUGAUGAAAAAAAGCAGCCGGCAAAAAGCAAAGAAAAGAAAACAGAUAAAUUCCCCCACUUUAGUUAAUCCUUCCUCAUUCCCCACCCCGCUGCAAACAAGCAAGGGAGCAUAAAAUGAUAACCCAUGAAGAAAAUACCACCAAACAGUCACGAAACACAGCAGGAUUAUAGAAAUAUCUAUGCAAAUCAAGAUAUACAAAUAUCUAUGCAAAAACGCGAAGGAUGCCGCUAUGAGAUGGACAAGGAAAGAUAAUCAUAAUGCACAACAAACAAAAAAAAAGAUAUCGAGGUGGCCGAAAAGCAAAUCAAGUCCAUAAAACUACGUCCAAACUCCGCAAGAAGCGAGCCAAUAAGUUCAAAGCCAAAGAUAAUUAAUUAAUUGAUGAG